Molecule: ribosomal RNA, 492 nt
Filed under: uncultured bacterium
Lineage: Bacteria
Description: partial 16S ribosomal RNA
Rfam family: Bacterial small subunit ribosomal RNA
Source: RNAcentral
AGUGAACGCUGGCGGUAGGCCUAACACAUGCAAGUCGAACGGCAGCACAGUAAGAGCUUGCUCUUACGGGUGGCGAGUGGCGGACGGGUGAGGAAUACAUCGGAAUCUACUUUUUCGUGGGGGAUAACGUAGGGAAACUUACGCUAAUACCGCAUACGACCUACGGGUGAAAGCAGGGGAUCUUCGGACCUUGCGCGAUUGAAUGAGCCGAUGUCGGAUUAGCUAGUUGGCGGGGUAAAGGCCCACCAAGGCGACGAUCCGUAGCUGGUCUGAGAGGAUGAUCAGCCACACUGGAACUGAGACACGGUCCAGACUCCUACGGGAGGCAGCAGUGGGGAAUAUUGGACAAUGGGCGCAAGCCUGAUCCAGCCAUACCGCGUGGGUGAAGAAGGCCUUCGGGUUGUACAGCCCUUUUGUUGGGAAAGAAAAGCAGCAGGUUAAUACCCCGCUGUUCUGACGGUACCCAAAGAAUAAGCACCGGCUAACUUCGUG